RNAcentral lists this ribosomal RNA (468 nucleotides) under uncultured bacterium. RNAcentral's name for it is "partial 16S ribosomal RNA". It matches the Rfam family "Bacterial small subunit ribosomal RNA", at positions 28 to 507 of the family's 1533-position model. The record is from RNAcentral.
GACGAACGCUGGCGGCGUGCUUAACACAUGCAAGUCGAACGGAAAGGCCCUGCUUUUGUGGGGUGCUCGAGUGGCGAACGGGUGAGUAACACGUGAGUAACCUGCCCUUGACUUUGGGAUAACUUCAGGAAACUGGGGCUAAUACCGGAUAGGAGCUCCUGCUGCAUGGUGGGGGUUGGAAAGUUUCGGCGGUUGGGGAUGGACUCGCGGCUCAUCAGCUUGUUGGUGGGGUAGUGGCUUACCAAGGCUUUGACGGGUAGCCGGCCUGGGAGGGUGACCGGCCACAUUGGGACUGAGAUACGGCGCAGACUCCUACGGGAGGCAGCAGUGGGGAAUAUUGCACAAUGGGCGGAAGCCUGAUGCAGCAACGCCGCGUGCGGGAUGACGGCCUUCGGGUUGUAAACCGCUUUCGCCUGUGACGAAGCGUGAGUGACGGUAAUGGGUAAAGAAGCACCGGCUAACUACGUG